CAAAAUGAGAAAGACCUGUUAUCGGUUCGCGAGAUUACAAACUUCGUCUCUCACACACAAAGCACAUUAAAUCCUAGGAAUCAUAAAAAUGGAAAUCAAUAUUCACAUUCGUUACCAAUUUUCAACGAAUGUUAGUCUAUCUGUGUAGGAAUCUUAUACAAUUUCUCAAAAAAUUGGGGGUAGAGGGCAAUGUAUCCUAAGUAUCAAGUUCAAUCUACACAGAACUGAGGGUUUAUAAUCGGCUAAGUAAUUAGUACAUGCAAUCGUUGUAGUAGAGGAAAACAUGACUGAAGAAUGCAAUGACUCUAUAGUAUCAGCACAACAGCAAGGUAUCAGAGGAAACGACUUAGUAAAAGAAUCAGGAUCAAUUAAGGUGCUUUUGAAAAUACGUGCAAAGUUUCCUCAACAUAUCACUACAAAUACAGUUGUGGUUUAGAUGUCAGUGCCAACAUACACAUCCAGGAGCUGAUGAUACCGAGUAUUGACCGCAUGGAAUGGGCGGGAAAAGCAGAUUUAAUAGAAGUGUGGUAAUGACACGUGGCAAGAAGAUGGUGUAAAAUGGUGACAUGUGGUGUUUAAAGGAGGUUUUUAUUAAGUUUGGAGAUUUUGACGAUGACCAAAUCUAACAAAUUAUACAAAUUCAGUCUCUGCUAAUUUUUUCCGACGAACAUGGUCCCUGUGUUUUCCAAAACUUGUAUGAAUGACCUUUUUUGCUGACGUCGUUAUUGUUCAUCCGUUACUGUAAAUGUAUUUUUGGUAUUUUCAAGUAAUAGAGACUAAUGUAUUUUGGUAUUUUCAAGUAACAGAGACUAAGUUUGUGACUAUAAA
Molecule: long non-coding RNA, 828 nt
Organism: Lactuca sativa (garden lettuce)
Lineage: Eukaryota; Viridiplantae; Streptophyta; Magnoliopsida; Asterales; Asteraceae
Source: RefSeq, a predicted model, not a curated record